AGCUUUUGGGCUGCCAGUCUAGGGUGCUGUUGGACGUCUCGCCCGCGAGGCACUGAGGUGGAUGUGGCGGGACCCGGAACACUGUGGGAAGGUGCGGAGAGCGCGGGAGGGAGGAGGCCGCUAACGGCAGGAGGCCGGGCGGGCGCCGUCCACCCCGCGUCCCGCUGCAGGGCCCGGGGCCCCCACCUCCCCUACCUUCGGCUUUCCACGGCAGCCGAGGGGCAGACACAAUCCCCACAAUUCCAGGCGGCUGCAGCGGCAACCAGCUCCUCGUGCGCAAACGCCGUCCAGCGGCUGCCGAAGGCUGAAGGCGCGUGGCUAUUACGUCACUCUCAACCUUGCCCAAUGAUAACUUGCCAGAACAGCCUCCAGCAACUCUCACCCCACGCGGCAUUGUUAGCCCCGCCUUCCUCAGCUGCUAAGCCCCGCCCCUAGCGUCUUCCUCCGCAAAAAAUGCUGAAAUUUGUUCAUGUCCCUCCGCUGGGAGCUGUAUCUAAAAAUAGCUACCCGUGGGCCUGCUCUUGUUUCCCACCUAGAACUUCAGUUUCUUGUUUAAUUUCCCAAGACCGUAAUUUCUUUCUAGUGUAAAGAUCUUCAGAAAGAAACCUGAGUGGGUGGGAGGUAAAUAUAAAUCACGAUGUUAUGACUCAGUUUGUGACACACAUUGAACCUCAAGCAAUAAAUAGUCCUUUGAAAAAUGUAUGCAAAAUAGAGUACCUGUAAGUAGUCACUAGCUUUAUAUAAUUGUGUUUUGAGUAUGUUUUUUAAAUGAUAAAUUAUUUGAACGAUAAAUAGGACACCUGAAUUUCUAAUCCUGCCAUACCACUGACCGGUGACGCACAUACACGAUCAUUUCACAAGAUUAGAAUUGCUGUCCUCUUUUCUUACAAAGACGAUGUUCUCACAGAGAAUGUUCUAGUUUGCUUUGCAUUGCUAUGAGAAAAUACUGACCAAAAACAAUUAGAGAAAGGGGUUUAACUUACAGGUUACAGUCUGUCAUCCAACCAAGUCAGGUCAGGAACAUGAGGCAGGAACUAAAGCAAAGACCACCAAGGAAUGCCACUUACUGUCCUUCUUACUCUGGCCUGCUUAGCUGCCUUUCUUACACAGCUUAGUCCCACCAUCCUAGGGAUGAUACUACCCACUGUGAUCUGGGCCCUUCUUCAAUAAUCAAUCUUGAAAAUGCUCACACACACGCCCAAAGCCCAAGCUGCUGGAGGCAGUUCCUCUACUGAGGCUCUUCCUGGGUCAAGUUGACAACUUUAACUGAAGCUAUGCCAGGAUAAAGGAUCUAUGCAAGGUCACAGAAUGAAAACGGUAUCAGAUGGAUAGGACACUCCCAAAGUCGUAUUUUCCUUUUUUUAAUCAUUUAUUUUUAUCUUAUGUUAAUUGAUAUUUUGUUUGCAUGUAUGCCUGUGUGAGGGUGCCAGAUCCCCGAGAACUGGAUAUACAGAAAGGUGUGAGCCACCAGGUGGUUGCUGGGAAUUGAGCCCAGGUCCUCUGGAAGAGCAGCCAGUGCUCCUAACCACUGACCCAUCCCUCCAGCCAUUCCCCUGAAAUCAUCUUUUCUUGCUACUAUGUCACAUAUACACAGACCCAUUAAAGCAGACUAGUAAAAUAGUUGCCAGUGGUUCUAGGCCACUUGUGGGUGGAGAAAAGGAUAAUUCAUGCCAGCAGUGUCCUCAAAUGGCAAAUAUUCCCCCAAGAUACAACCAUCAAUUUAUUUCUGAAAUUCCUUUGCAUUCUUUGUAUAUUAGGUUAGCUUCCAGCUUUCUGUUUACCCUCUUAAUUAUGUUUAUUUCAAGCAGGUGGGAGGUUGGCUUCGGAGUCACUGGGCAAAGCCUCAGGUGUCAGCUAGGGAGGGAGGGCGUGCUCCUCCUGAGCGGGGGCUGGAUGAGUAGUAGUACCAGCCAGUGAGAAGUGAUAAAACAGGUCUUUGGGUUCUAGAUAGGAAAGAUGAGAGAGAGCUUACUCUCCGGUGCCAUGCUCCUAUCGCCUUGCCAUCAUAAAGGAGAACAAACCACAAAACACACGCACCAAAGAAACCCCUCUCAUCCUUAGGGUGCUUUUUAUCAGGUACUUGUCUCAGCAAUGAAAAACAAGUAAGGAUACAGGGAAUACAUGUGUGCGGUGAGGAUUUUGGUCUCUUUUAAAACCCAGUUAUGUUGCGGGAAUACGUUUUUGUUUUAAUCCCAGGUGUGGGAUAUGAGGCCGCUUCAGAUUGUCCACAGCUGCUAUGGUUUUUGCCAGCUGCAGAUAGUGUAUGUUUGGAAUUCUGUGUAUUCUCGAGAGGAAUAAAUGCAAGAGCUCCAAGAGGGCCCGUAAAGGCUGCUGCUUCCGUUGCUGCUGCUGCUUCCACUUCAACUUCCUGCUAUUGCUUUUGUUGCUUUUGCUAUUGCUAUUGCUAGUUUGCUGGCUGGAGAUAUCCUGACAACAAUGAAGACUGGAUUUGCUCCAAGGAACUCUACAUUCCUAAUCCACAGGAAGUAGUCUAAAGAGAUCCACGCCCCCUUACCCCUCUAACCUUCUUUCUCUCCUACCUAGUGUUGGGUUGGAAGGGAUGAGAGUGGAGUAAGGUUGGAGAAGGGGGGUAGUAAGAUAUAAGAACCCAAUAAAGUAGCCACCAAAAUACACCUGCAGAUCUUAAGCUUGGGGUCAGUCUGGUCUACACAGUGAGUUCCAGGACAGUCCCAGAGCUACCAUAGUUAGACCGUGUCC
Molecule: long non-coding RNA, 2718 nt
Filed under: Mus musculus (house mouse)
Lineage: Eukaryota; Metazoa; Chordata; Mammalia; Rodentia; Muridae
Description: long non-coding RNA chr18:35498595-35501313
Source: RNAcentral